CACCUGUUUGGCCAACCCUAAAUAUCCAAAAGCCAUGUAUCCUCCGGCCGGCCCUUAGGCACUCAUGCGUGGUGAGACAAUGGGUGCAGCGCUGGGGUUGGCCGGGCAGAGGGGUCACACUUGCGACUCCCUCCUCCCCGGUCAUGCUGGUACCAACAUCUCUGUCUCCUCAUGGUGGGACUCCCAAGACUUGGGGCUAUGGGGGGGCAUCCGCUCCCCAGAGCGUUGGUACUGCUGGUCCCCAGCUCAGUCACAGACUCCAUGGGAUGACUCACAUAGGCCUUGGUAGACUAGGGAAACCCAUGCUGGUGUCACCAUGUUGAGGUAAUCGCCCUUGAUCACUCUGGGCCUCAGAGUUCACCUUGUAACGGGACAGUGAUACGGACUCAUCCUGUCUGGGAGUCACUCGCUUCCUCACAUGAGGGCUGUAUAAGGAGGAAGAGGGAUGUAGGGUCAUGCAUGUGGCCUAACUGCACCCUGGAUUUUCAUCUGCCCUACCGUCUGCAUCAGCAGAUCUGCUUGUUGCAGCACGUAGUGCCCAAGUAACAUCCAGGGGCAGCAGGGCCGAGCCACAUGAGGUACCAAGAGUUGGGAAAUGAAAUCGCUCCGUGACACAAAAGGGCCCGCUACGAUGCACAUUCUACAAGGAGUACCACAACCUCAACCUGUGGCAACCCUCCUCAGGCCUCUCACUGUCUUAUCUUCUAUCUCUCAUGUUACUUCUAACUAUGGACACAUUCGUGGCAUAGUAACAACUGAACUAAAGGAAGACCAUUCUAAAGGAAGAAAUCAGCUGCUUAUUUGUCAACAGAUCAUCAGCAAAUACUCUCCUGAAGACAAUGGGAACGUGAAAGGUUUUGCUGGCAUUUUGGCUCCAAAUAAUAUGACUUUCUCCACCUGCAAGCAAUAGGGCCCAUUGUUGCGUUGUGAUACAUUUGAAUGGGCCAGUAACAUACACUUAGACAAGGUUUCAAUGCUCCCUAUCUCAAUCUAUUCCCCCAAUACUCAUACUGCCAGAGUGCUUUCAUUUUCUAUUCAACUGAUGUUUUAAUAUGAUUUACUCUUGGGGCCAAUAUUGAAGGAACAUAGCUCUCCCAGAGGGUUAUAAGACAAGCAGAACACUAGAAAAGCAACUUCCCCCUCUUAGAAUACUCCAGCAGAUGCAAUCCACAGCCAGUCCUAAAGCACCAGGUUAAUCAUGAGAGACUCACAGAUCAAGGUGCCCUACAGAGAUGAAAUAUCUAUUUAGCAACAGGGCCCUGUCUCUCCCCUUCCUCCCUGAGAUCCAUGGUAUUGUCCCCCAAGAUCCUCCAGUCCCAAGGGGGAAUGUGCUUGGGGAGGAUGGGGAGAAGCCUCACCAGGCCAUGUGGCCGUAUGAUGCCAGUCCCCUCUGGUCCUGGGGCACUUGGUCAGAAAAGAUAUUCCAUCCCAGGACCCCCAUUGAGCCCUCGCCUCUACUUCACUCCCGCUCAUACCCAUCCUGGUGCUCCUAGCUGCAGCUGUGGUGAGGGGCUGUCUCCAGUGUUGUGUCUUCAGUGGGGCUCAGACUAGAACCAGUUCAAAGGUGCAGGGCCCAAUCUGGUUGGCUCCAGUAGAACAGCCAACCCCAAGUGUUCAAAAAUCAUGAGUCAGGCCCCCAAAACUGAUGAAAUUGGCUUUAAAAUACUGAGUUUUUUUAAAUAACAACAUUGGGGUUCUUAUAUAUGCCUCCUGGUUUCUGAGCCUCUAGGAGUCACUAUUCAAGCUGUUCUCUGCAACCAGGAGGGCCAGAAAUUUACCUUUUAAAAAAUGAAAGUUGAGUUCACAUGACUCCAGGAGCUGGAGCCUUAGAAAAAACAGUAGAUAUCAUGAGAGUUGGCAACACUGCUCUGGCCUUCUGCAGAUCCCCUUGGACUGGGCCCAGAUCUCUGAGGAUUUGCCCCAUGUCCAAUCAGGGAAUAUCUCUGUAGCACCAUCCUCAUUGAGAUUUCCUCCCUGGGAGCCUCCUCCUGGAAUUCCAGUGGGUGUGUCUGCAGAGUAAAGGAAGAAUGAGGGAACCAUGCAUGGAGUGGUCUUCCCACAUUUUAUUGCUCCCCAGAAAGAAAUAAAGACCCCUGUCCACCUCACCCAGUUGAGAGGCGCUGCCCUGUCAUUAUUAUUUAUGAUAGUAACAUCCAAGAACUGCAGCCAGGGAUCAGGGCCCCAUUGUGCUAGAUGCUGUACAGACAUGGAAUAAAGAAAGUAGUUCCCCCCUGCCCCUCCCCGAGAGCUCACAGUCUAGGUGUCAGUCAGACAGGAUACAACAAGUGGAUAGAAUAGGGGGUAGGGGGUUGUUUGGGAGGACAGGGUAACCAAAAGACAGAAUUUUCCCCGAGAUAUUAGAUCUCUCUCAUCAAACUCCUGUAGAUCUCAUCCUGUAUAUUUGCAUGCCUUCAUCUCUCUUCCACCCAGAGCAAAUCCUGACUCUUCCCCUAUACCAUAAAGUGACAGGCAAACAGUGUCUGCACUUUGUUGUGACUGCUACAGUUUGGAAGGAAUUGCCAUUAGCAAAGAUGGCUCAAACCAAUUUCUAGAAGCAAGUCCCGUGGGGUGAAAGCUAAAUAAUGCUGGCUACACCAUGACAACAUGUGAGCCUGGGCCUUCUUAAUACCACUGCGAAUCAAUCAGUGCUUAACAAACCAGUGGCAGCUGUAAAUAUAUUUGAUCUGUACAUGCAUUUGUCUGCUCAGUUCAUCAUCUUUCCACUUUCUAAUGUAUUUUCCUUCCAGGAACUAUAAAGAUAAAAGUGAAAUGUAAGAGAGAGGAAAACAUUCUAGGGAUGAUUGGCCAUAUUCCCCAUUCCCAACAUUUUUCAUUACCUAGACGCCCCAGAGAUUCAGUGAGGCCAGGACUCAUCAUUCUCUGCGCUUCUCUAGACACCUGUCAGUACACAACAGGAGGAAAGGGUACAGAUGUGUUCUGCAUUGCACCACAUUGAAAUAGCUCACUGUGAAGCCAGUGGUUUGUGGAGACUUCUGCCUCCUUCAGAGCUACCAUUUAACCAUAACCCAGACUCAGACUGCUAUUGCAACGGCACCUGUUAUCGCCCUCUAAUAAGACUUGGGAGAUGGAGCAGUAGUUUAUGCUUGAUUUCAUGUUCACUUCAAGCUCUGUUGUUCUCAGUUAAUAUGUGUAUAAGAUCAGAAUGAGAGAAGGGGUGGAUGGGCAGAGGGGCAGAAAAGACUCUAUUUUAAUUUGAACUCAAGGAAAGUAUAUAACAAUCUUAGUCACAUAGAAAUGCACAUGACUCGGUAAAUAUGAAUGUCUGAUCCUUUCCCACCAGUGUCUUGGGUUUGAUAAAUAAUGGAAUAUACAAACCUGAGAAAUCAAUUCACUUUUAAAUAGUGUCUAUCCAUUUAUUUUUAAAGGGGAUAGAGAGGUACUCACUGCCAGGAGGGAGGAGGCUGGGAUCUCUCAAACACCUUAGGAAGGAGAGGAAGAGGUGUGUGUGGAAAAGAGAUAGGAGGGGCAAGGGAUGGCAUCUCCCCAAGCCCUAUGAGAAAGGGAGAGAAGGGGGUGGGGAAAGUGGAUAGGAAAAGAGAGAGUGAAAUGCUGGCUGCAUUGAAAAUUUCAGCCAGAGUGACCAAAGAAGAGCACAGGCCCUGUGGGAUGGAGUGAGAGAGUAAAAGGAAAGGCAGUGGACAGAGCAGAGAAGGGAUGGGAGGACAGACAUAGACAAUAGGGGAGAGCAGACACAACAAGCUAGGAAGGGGAAGAGAAGGAUUAAAGGUCAGAGCCUGGCCAGAUCCCAUUUAUUUGAACAAGUGACUCCUGCAGUUCAACAAUUGCUCAAUUUUUGCUGCAUUGCUAUUACAGAAGUUAUCCAUAUGGUCAUUUUUUCAAUCAGUUCAUUUCACUUGUCCCAUCUUCCCGCAGAUAAUUCUAUAAUACAGGGAGGAAGUCAUUCCAUUUAUAAGCUGGAGGAGCCACUGGGUGAAUGAGAUUCAUCUGGGAUUUAACAUUUCUGUUGUUUUAUGGUCAUUUGCAACGUGUCUUUGUGUGUGCUAUAUUCCUACCUUUUGGUAGAGCAUGACUGUGUUGGUCUUCUGAUAUUCACUGCAGUAAAGGCAAUCUAAGAUUAAAGAACAUAUCUUUCUUGGUAUCCCAGAGUCACCUUAGCUUGAACAGACUUCAGCCUAGCCUCCAGGGUUGCCAG
Molecule: non-coding RNA, 4174 nt
Organism: Caretta caretta (loggerhead turtle)
Lineage: Eukaryota; Metazoa; Chordata; Testudines; Cheloniidae
Source: RefSeq, a predicted model, not a curated record